UGCGAUUAAAGUGAGCAAAUGUUUAAUCCCCCGCUGGGUGUUGCCUGUCCCAUGUUCCCGCCCGAUUGCAAAAUCGAAUCUUAGCCGCUGGAUUUCACAGAAAACGAUACCGAAAGCUUAACUCAGCGGCGUGUUGUUGUUAUCUGUAUCGCGGAAGUAGGUGACGUUGGACUUUGGUCCCUAACGACGUUCCGUAGAAACGUUGCUCGUGCGCCCCCAGUGAUACGCACAGUCUCAGUAGCAACAAGAGUCAGCGGGCAUGAUGGCAGACACACCCCGGGACACGGCUCACAGCGGCGACACCAGUUAAGUUAGCUAACGUCAAUUAAGUUAAACAUAAGCGUUUGGAAGAUGUCUAAAUCGGGCACUCAGCGUUUGUCUGACUCUCUGAAGUCGGGGGACAAUUUCAACAAGCGGGUCUGUGUGUAUGACUGCCGCUUCGAGAAUGAAGAGGCUGUGUACAAAUGGCUGGACAUAAGUGGCUUCGACUUCAACGACUUUGUUGAUGCUCUGCAGCAGGUAUCAAAAUCAGCGCCGCUAUACUCCGCGCGUGACCGUGACGAGCUGACGGCUCGGAGCUCCCGGCUGACGGCGAUGAGCGUCCGUCCGUCCCCCGGCUGAUGGAGUUGAUGACCGUCUGUCCGUCCGUCCUGUACAUAUUUGUUUCAGUGCUCUCAGAAGCAUGCAGCUUUAUUAAUGACAUAUACUCUAUAGGUUUUUAGAUACACCUCACUACAACAAAUCAUAGUUGCAGGACUGUUGCAUGAUCCCUGCAGUGAUUGUUUCUCUGACAGAAGUUGUAGUGAUGAUAAGAUAUUUUAUCAUUUUAUGAUGCUGUCAAUAAAGAACAACUUGAAAGAGCUUGAAAGAUGAACAUUAUAACCUCCAUGAAGUUAGGAUUUACUUAUUGGCCGUUCAGCACUAACUUUUGCUAUGACUACCUACAUAACUGGUAACUAGGUGCAGGUAUGUUAUGAUUUCUUUUAUGAGUAUCAAGGAAAUUAAACCAGCAAGAUAGAGAGACUAGCUCUGGUUGUUUCACAUGUCAUUAAAUUCAGAUUGAAAUCAAGCAGCAAACCUGUUAAAAAAAAACGUGAUGUAAUGGAUAAGUAACAGUUGCUAAACCACAACUCAGGAGCGGAAACAAGGUGCUUGUUUGGCAGGCCAAGAAAUGCCAGAAUUUCAAAGUCGGUGACCGGAAAAAAGUCCUUUUGACUUGAUGAAUCCAAGUUUGAGAUUCAUGGCAGUAACAGAAUGGUGCAUGUAAGGAAACACUUUGAAAUAGUAAAUCUUGUUGAGAAGCAGUUAAAUUCCUGUCUCGUUUUUGAGGUUGUGUGGUGUCAUGGGGAAAAGCCAGCCAGUGCCUUUUGA
RNAcentral lists this long non-coding RNA (1371 nucleotides) under Sparus aurata (gilthead seabream). Its description in RNAcentral is "lncRNA (ENSSAUG00010008987.1)". The record is from RNAcentral. Lineage: Eukaryota; Metazoa; Chordata; Actinopteri; Spariformes; Sparidae.